Molecule: transfer RNA, 62 nt
Filed under: Coleolaelaps cf. liui XFX-2019
Lineage: Eukaryota; Metazoa; Arthropoda; Arachnida; Mesostigmata; Laelapidae
Description: tRNA-Asn
Source: RNAcentral
UUAAUAAAAGCCAAAAAGAGGCAUCUCACUGUUAAUGAGUCCAUUGAUAUAUUCUUAUUAAG